This 474-nucleotide ribosomal RNA is filed under the name uncultured bacterium. Its description in RNAcentral is "partial 16S ribosomal RNA". It matches the Rfam family "Bacterial small subunit ribosomal RNA", at positions 28 to 507 of the family's 1533-position model. The record is from RNAcentral.
GACGAACGCUGGCGGCGCGCUUAACACAUGCCAGUCGAGCGGUAAGGCUCCUUCGGGAGUACACGAGCGGCGAACGGGUGAGUAACACGUGAGUAAUCUGCCCUUCACUUCGGGAUAACCACCGGAAACGGUGGCUAAUACCGAAUACGACCAGUCUUCGCAUGAGGUGCUGGUGGAAAGUCUUUUCGGUGAAGGAUGUGCUCGCGGCCUAUCAGCUUGUUGGUGGGGUAAUGGCCUACCAAGGCUUCGACGGGUAGCCGGCCUGAGAGGGUGACCGGCCACACUGGGACUGAGACACGGCCCAGACUCCUACGGGAGGCAGCAGUGGGGAAUAUUGGACAAUGGGCGAAAGCCUGAUCCAGCAACGCCGCGUGAGGGAUGACGGCCUUCGGGUUGUAAACCUCGUUCAGUACCGACGAAGCGCCCUGUCGGGUGGUGACGGUAGGUACAGAAGAAGGACCGGCCAACUACGUG